Molecule: ribosomal RNA, 1256 nt
Filed under: Staphylococcus aureus
Lineage: Bacteria; Bacillati; Bacillota; Bacilli; Caryophanales; Staphylococcaceae
Description: partial 23S ribosomal RNA
Rfam family: Bacterial large subunit ribosomal RNA
Source: RNAcentral
CUCCGAAUGCCAAUUAAUUUAACUUGGGAGUCAGAACAUGGGUGAUAAGGUCCGUGUUCGAAAGGGAAACAGCCCAGACCACCAGCUAAGGUCCCAAAAUAUAUGUUAAGUGGAAAAGGAUGUGGCGUUGCCCAGACAACUAGGAUGUUGGCUUAGAAGCAGCCAUCAUUUAAAGAGUGCGUAAUAGCUCACUAGUCGAGUGACACUGCGCCGAAAAUGUACCGGGGCUAAACAUAUUACCGAAGCUGUGGAUUGUCCUUUGGACAAUGGUAGGAGAGCGUUCUAAGGGCGUUGAAGCAUGAUCGUAAGGACAUGUGGAGCGCUUAGAAGUGAGAAUGCCGGUGUGAGUAGCGAAAGACGGGUGAGAAUCCCGUCCACCGAUUGACUAAGGUUUCCAGAGGAAGGCUCGUCCGCUCUGGGUUAGUCGGGUCCUAAGCUGAGGCCGACAGGCGUAGGCGAUGGAUAACAGGUUGAUAUUCCUGUACCACCUAUAAUCGUUUUAAUCGAUGGGGGGACGCAGUAGGAUAGGCGAAGCGUGCGAUUGGAUUGCACGUCUAAGCAGUAAGGCUGAGUAUUAGGCAAAUCCGGUACUCGUUAAGGCUGAGCUGUGAUGGGGAGAAGACAUUGUGUCUUCGAGUCGUUGAUUUCACACUGCCGAGAAAAGCCUCUAGAUAGAAAAUAGGUGCCCGUACCGCAAACCGACACAGGUAGUCAAGAUGAGAAUUCUAAGGUGAGCGAGCGAACUCUCGUUAAGGAACUCGGCAAAAUGACCCCGUAACUUCGGGAGAAGGGGUGCUCUUUAGGGUUAACGCCCAGAAGAGCCGCAGUGAAUAGGCCCAAGCGACUGUUUAUCAAAAACACAGGUCUCUGCUAAACCGUAAGGUGAUGUAUAGGGGCUGACGCCUGCCCGGUGCUGGAAGGUUAAGAGGAGUGGUUAGCUUCUGCGAAGCUACGAAUCGAAGCCCCAGUAAACGGCGGCCGUAACUAUAACGGUCCUAAGGUAGCGAAAUUCCUUGUCGGGUAAGUUCCGACCCGCACGAAAGGCGUAACGAUUUGGGCACUGUCUCAACGAGAGACUCGGUGAAAUCAUAGUACCUGUGAAGAUGCAGGUUACCCGCGACAGGACGGAAAGACCCCGUGGAGCUUUACUGUAGCCUGAUAUUGAAAUUCGGCACAGCUUGUACAGGAUAGGUAGGAGCCUUUGAAACGUGAGCGCUAGCUUACGUGGAGGCGCUGGUGGGAUACUACCCUAGCUG